RNAcentral lists this ribosomal RNA (253 nucleotides) under uncultured bacterium. Its description in RNAcentral is "partial 16S ribosomal RNA". It matches the Rfam family "Bacterial small subunit ribosomal RNA", at positions 524 to 776 of the family's 1533-position model. The record is from RNAcentral.
UACGUAGGGUGCAAGCGUUGUCCGGAAUUAUUGGGCGUAAAGAGCUCGUAGGCGGUUUGUCGCGUCUGCUGUGAAAACCCGAGGCUCAACCUCGGGCCUGCAGUGGGUACGGGCAGACUAGAGUGCGGUAGGGGAGAUUGGAAUUCCUGGUGUAGCGGUGGAAUGCGCAGAUAUCGGGAGGAACACCCGUAGCGAAGGCGGCACUCUGGGCCGGUACUGACGCUGAGGAGCGAAAGCGUGGGGAGCAAACAGG